RNAcentral lists this ribosomal RNA (137 nucleotides) under uncultured eukaryote. Its description in RNAcentral is "partial 18S ribosomal RNA". It matches the Rfam family "Eukaryotic small subunit ribosomal RNA", at positions 1299 to 1458 of the family's 1831-position model. The record is from RNAcentral.
UGCUGGGGUGACUUGUCUGCUUAAUUGCGAUAACGAACGAAACCUUAACCUGCUAAAUAGCCCGCAUUGCUCCGGCAGUGCGCUGGCUUCUUAGAGGGACUUUCGGCUCAAGCCGAAGGAAGUUUGAGGCAAUAACA